CCCUUAGAUGUUCUGGGCCGCACGCGCGCUACACUGAUGCAUUCAACGAGUCUAAAACCUGCUCUGAUAGGGGUGGGUAAUCUUUUGAAUGUGCAUCGUGAUUGGGAUAGAUGAUUGCAAUUUUUCAUCUUCAACGAGGAAUGCCUAGUAAACGCAAGUCAUCAGCUUGCAUUGAUUACGUCCCUGCCCUUUGUACACACCGCCCGUCGCUCCUACCGAUUGAAUGAUCCGAUGAAUAUCAUGGAUUGAGGAUUAUAGCAGGUUCGCCUGUCUUGAUCUUCGAGAAGUGAAGUAAAUCUGAUCAUUUAGAGGAAGGAGAAGUCGUAACA
This 329-nucleotide ribosomal RNA is filed under the name uncultured eukaryote. RNAcentral describes it as "partial 18S ribosomal RNA". It matches the Rfam family "Eukaryotic small subunit ribosomal RNA", at positions 1470 to 1796 of the family's 1831-position model. The record is from RNAcentral.